RNAcentral lists this ribosomal RNA (253 nucleotides) under uncultured bacterium. Its description in RNAcentral is "partial 16S ribosomal RNA". It matches the Rfam family "Bacterial small subunit ribosomal RNA", at positions 524 to 776 of the family's 1533-position model. The record is from RNAcentral.
GACAGAGGCCUCAAGCGUUAGGCGGAAUCACUGGGCUUAAAGCGUGUGUAGGCGGAUCGUUAAGUACCUUGUGAAAUCCCACGGCUCACCCGUGGAACUGCUGGGUAUACUGGCGGUCUUGGGCCAACUAGGGGCAGCUGGAACAAGCGGUGGAGCGGUGAAAUGCGUAGAUAUCGCUUGGAACGCCGAAGGUGAAAACAGGCUGCUGGGGUUGUGCCGACGCUGAGACACGAAAGCCAGGGGAGCAAACGGG